GACGAACGCUGGCGGCGUGCUUAACACAUGCAAGUCGAACGGAAAGGCCCUGCUUUUGUGGGGUGCUCGAGUGGCGGACGGGUGAGUAACACGUGAGAACCUGCCCUUGACUUUGGGAUAACUUCAGGAAACUGGGGCUAAUACCGGAUAGGAGCUCCUGCUGCAUGGUGGGGGUUGGAAAGUUUCGGCGGUUGGGGAUGGACUCGCGGCUUAUCAGCUUGUUGGUGGGGUAGUGGCUUACCAAGGCUUUGACGGGUAGCCGGCCUGUGAGGGUGACCGGCCACAUUGGGACUGAGAUACGGCCCAGACUCCUACGGGAGGCAGCAGUGGGGAAUAUUGCACAAUGGGCGGAAGCCUGAUGCAGCAACGCCGCGUGCGGGAUGACGGCCUUCGGGUUGUAAACCGCUUUCGCCUGUGACGAAGCGUGAGUGACGGUAAUGGGUAAAGAAGCACCGGCUAACUACGUG
Molecule: ribosomal RNA, 467 nt
Filed under: uncultured bacterium
Lineage: Bacteria
Description: partial 16S ribosomal RNA
Rfam family: Bacterial small subunit ribosomal RNA
Source: RNAcentral